UGUGUGUUUGAUGUCAAUUUUAAGUGUGUGUUUGAUGCCAAUGCAAAGAGAAAACUUGACUCUAAGAAAUGUAGAUCUACCUCCACGUGUACAGUCAUGUGCUAAAUGUGUUUGGCUUCUAGAAAGCCUUAUGGAACACAUGAAAAAUAAGUUCUGCACAUAUGGAGGGGAAAAUCAAUAAUGUCGCCCCUAUGAUGAUAAACACACCCCUCCUUAUGUAGCAAUGUCCACUUUACCCUUCACCAUGCUCUUGGGUUGUUCUUUAUUUGGUGGGCUUGGGCCCCGCGUAUCAUCCCCUCCCCCUUGGAAAGGAUUUGUCCUCAAAUCUGAUGGUUUGCCUGAGGACUUAUUUUUGUAGACUUCACUAGAAUUCCGCCAGGGUCAAAU
RNAcentral lists this long non-coding RNA (387 nucleotides) under Vigna radiata. RNAcentral's name for it is "long non-coding RNA (VRAD_LNC006086)". The record is from RNAcentral. Lineage: Eukaryota; Viridiplantae; Streptophyta; Magnoliopsida; Fabales; Fabaceae.